Molecule: ribosomal RNA, 132 nt
Organism: Pteropus vampyrus (large flying fox)
Lineage: Eukaryota; Metazoa; Chordata; Mammalia; Chiroptera; Pteropodidae
Source: Ensembl
UACUAAGGCGAUAUUUUACAUUCUUUUAUUUGUACUAAGUCUUUAAUAUCCAGAGUAUAGGAAGCUAAGCAGGGUCGGGCUUGGUUAGUACUUGGAUGGGAGACCACCUAGGAAGACCAAGUGCUGUAGGCA